GACGGAGGAUGCAAGUGUUAUCCGGAAUCACUGGGCGUAAAGCGUCUUUAGGUGGUUUAAUAAGUCAACUGUUAAAUCUUGAGGCUCAACCUCAAAAUCGCAGUCGAAACUAGUAGACUAGAGUAUAGUAGGGGUAAAGGGAAUUUCCAGUGGAGCGGUGAAAUGCGUAGAUAUUGGAAAGAACACCGAUGGCGAAGGCACUUUACUGGGCUAUUACUAACAAUCAGAGACGAAAGCUAGGGUAGCAAAUGGG
Molecule: ribosomal RNA, 253 nt
Filed under: uncultured bacterium
Lineage: Bacteria
Description: partial 16S ribosomal RNA
Rfam family: Bacterial small subunit ribosomal RNA
Source: RNAcentral